CGAACGGGUGAGUAACACAUCGGAACGUACCCAGGAGUGGGGGACAACCUCGAGAAAUCGAGGCUAAUACCGCAUACGUCCUGAGGGAGAAAGCGGGGGAUUCGCAAGGACCUCGCGCUCAUGGAUUGGCCGAUGCCGGAUUAGCUAGUUGGUGGGGUAAUAGCCCACCAAGGCUACGAUCCGUAGCUGGUUUGAGAGAACGACCAGCCACACUGGGACUGAGACACGGCCCAG
This 234-nucleotide ribosomal RNA is filed under the name uncultured bacterium. RNAcentral describes it as "partial 16S ribosomal RNA". It matches the Rfam family "Bacterial small subunit ribosomal RNA", at positions 99 to 334 of the family's 1533-position model. The record is from RNAcentral.